GCGGAUGGCCGGAUAACCGCCGCCGAAAGGGUAAGCCUUCGGGGGAGGAAAGUCCGGACUCCAUUGAGCAACGGUGCCGGGUAACGCCCGGCGGGGGCAACCCCAGGGACAGCGCCACAGAGAACAGACUGCCUUCCAUGCGGAGGUGAUGGUGAAACGGUGGGGUAAGAGCCCACCGCGGGACCGGCAACGGGACCGGCACGGCAAGCCCCACCGGGAGCAAUGCCAAAUAGGGAUCCGGCAGCGGUCCGGGGGGCGCGCCCUCCGUCCGCAAGGUCGCUCAAGCCUUCGGGAUCCGGGUUGGCAGCUUGAGCCCUCUGGCGACAGGGGGCCUGGAGGAAUGGUUAUCCACGGGGGCUCCGGCCCCCCGGACAGAAUCCGGCUUACAGGCCGUCCGCGCGC
RNAcentral lists this RNase P RNA (402 nucleotides) under Celeribacter indicus. RNAcentral describes it as "Bacterial RNase P class A". It matches the Rfam family "Bacterial RNase P class A". From Rfam's summary of the family: Ribonuclease P (RNase P) is a ubiquitous endoribonuclease, found in archaea, bacteria and eukarya as well as chloroplasts and mitochondria. Its best characterised activity is the generation of mature 5'-ends of tRNAs by cleaving the 5'-leader elements of precursor-tRNAs. The record is from Rfam by way of RNAcentral. Lineage: Bacteria; Pseudomonadati; Pseudomonadota; Alphaproteobacteria; Rhodobacterales; Roseobacteraceae.